This is a long non-coding RNA of Uranotaenia lowii, 1908 nucleotides long. RefSeq lists it as uncharacterized. The transcript has 3 exons. The record is from RefSeq and is a predicted model, not a curated record. Lineage: Eukaryota; Metazoa; Arthropoda; Insecta; Diptera; Culicidae.
GCCGGUCAAACUCUCCAGAGGCACCUCCAUCAGAUUCUGGGCCACCUGGAAUAUGUUUUCCCGUACGUCGACGACUUAUGCAUCGGCUCCGCCAGCAUCGAAGAGCAUAAACAGCAUCUGCGUCAAGUAUUCCAGAUCCUGAGGGAAAACAACCUGACCAUCAACGCCAGCAAAUGCCAAAUCGGGAAAUCUGAGGUGAAAUUCCUGGGUCAUCUCAUCACUCCCGAGGGCAUCAAACCAAACCCGAGCAAGGUCGAAGCUGUGCUAAAUUUUCCUCAACCUCCCUGUCAGGAACGUUUGCUCAAUCGGGCCGAUUGCAAAACAGACAUGGCGGUACUCGAAUUCUAGCGGUUAGAAUUCGGUCGGUUAUCGGCUCGAUUUCCAUCCGCCUGCUCGAUUGCUCGAAAACAGACGAUAUUUAUCGCAGUGCUGCAUGAACAAAACGAAACACAGGCAGUUUUCAAUCGCAGCAAUAUGGGUGCGUGUUUCGUUUUGGUGCGUGAUUGUUGUGAAUUGUGUUGUGAAAUUUGGUCGCAGUUCUGUUUCUGCCGUUUCCGCUGUUUCUUUUCAGAAAUGCUUUUAGCGGUAUGUAGAAGAAGCCAUUGUCCGGCGAUAAUUUAAUAAAAAGCGAGGUAUGUUUGAUUGAUUGAAUUCUAAAUAAUCAAGUUUUAUUUAUAUCAUUUUCUAACCCUUAGUUGUCCCCAUAGAAAACAUCCCGAAUAGAAAAACAUUAUGAAAACACCAUGAAUUUCAUUUUCACGCAACCAUGAAUUUUAUGGUUGAAACUAUGCGAAUCAUGGUACAUGAAACCAUGAAUGGACUUUAAAAUUCAUAUUUUUAAACAGUGAAAUUUAUGGUUCUAGCAAAAUUUACCAUGAAAAAAGGGGGUUGUUAAGCAACUUAGGGCAUCCGCAGCAAUUGCGAGCAAAGUGAAAAUGCUCACGAGUUUAAUCACUUCCAUACCGCACCGGGGGUUAAUAUGAAGGUGAGCAAAAUAGGGCCGAUGCCGUCGGGACCGACAAAAUCACCAAAUUUGCUCACUAGAAAGGGGCGAGAGCAAACAUGCACUGAAAAAAUUCUACCGUUUUGAGCAGAAUUAAACAAACGAUGUCGCAGCGUGUAGAUGUUUGUUGAUAUUUAUUUUAAGAAAAAAAUUGUAUCAGCUUAAAAUUGUGGAUGGUUUUUCUUGUAAUAACUGCAGUUAAAUUCGCAAUUUCGUUACAUUUUUUCGGGGUUUUCCAGGAAUUGAACGAGAAAGUGUAAAUGCUGGUUCUGAUGAUAAACAAACUUGAAGCAUCGUAAUUUGUGACCAAAAAUGGUCACUCGGAGUUUCUCGGAGUAAUAAUAAUCGAGACCAGUGCGCUGUGCAGGAUUUUUGUAUCCAACCGGCCGAUAUGGGUGGCAUUCCAGUACUGUCCCUACCGAUUCGGCUUUCGGAACGAGGUCCAAUAAGUUUGCAACUAAUGGGACCCAGUUUUUCGGAGCAGCAAUUAUUUCAAUCAGCACGUUGGAUAGAAAAAGAAGUUGAAGAUUUUUUAGAAAAAUAAACAAACUUGAAGCAUCGUAAUUUGUGACCAAAAAUGGUCACUCGGAGUUUCUCGGAGUAAUAAUAAUCGAGACCAGUGCGCUGUGCAGGAUUUUUGUAUCCAACCAGCCGAUAUGGGUGGCAUUCCAGUACUGUCCCUACCGAUUCGGCUUUCGGAACGAGGUCCAAUAAGUUUGCAACUAAUGGGACCCAGUUUUUCGGAGCAGCAAUUAUUUCAAUCAGCACGUUGGAUAGAAAAAGAAGUUGAAGAUUUUUUAGAAAAGUAUGAUUUUAAUAUAAAUAUAAUAAACAAAUAAAGUUGAAUUUUAGUUGAAUUGUUUGGUUUGUUAAAUUUUGUUUUUCGGGUCCAUUUGUUAGGAAAU